GAUGAAGAACGCAGCGAAAUGCGAUAAGUAGUGUGAAUUGCAGAAUUCAGUGAAUCAUCGAAUCUUUGAACGCACAUUGCGCCCGCCAGUAUUCUGGCGGGCAUGCCUGUUCGAGCGUCAUUUCAACCAUCAAGCCCCCGGCUUGUGUUGGGGACCUGCGGCUGCCGCAGGCCCUGAAAACCAGUGGCGGGCUCGCUAGUCACUCCGAGCGUAGUAAUACAUCUCGCUCAGGGCGUGCUGCGGGUUCCGGCCGUUAAAAAGCCUUAUUUACCCAAGGUUGACCUCGGAUCAGGUAGGAAGACCCGCUGAACUUAAGCAUAUCAAUAAGCGGAGGA
RNAcentral lists this unclassified non-coding RNA (335 nucleotides) under soil metagenome. RNAcentral describes it as "partial contains 5.8S ribosomal RNA, internal transcribed spacer 2, and large subunit ribosomal RNA". The stretch from base 1 to 120 matches the Rfam family "5.8S ribosomal RNA", at positions 35 to 154 of the family's 154-position model. The record is from RNAcentral.